UGAUCACUUAAAGUGAUGUUGAAUUUAAUUUAGCUGUCUGGACAAUGCCUUAACAGAUUCAUUUCAGAUACUGAGGUCCUACAUAAUUCUCAUUUGCAUUUGGAAAUACUCAAGAUCCAUCUCCCAGUUUAGCGCACUUUUGAGGACUUCCUGCCGGUCCAAUUGAUCCAGGAGCAGCAAAAAUAUGGAAGAUCCACAGCUGAAAAACCAAACUUGACCUACCGGAGUGGAUAAAGGAUGGCGUUGGCAUGGUCAGCAGCUUCAGAAAACCACUUGUUUAUCUCACGGAACUCAAAAGAAAAAGAUAGGCACGAUUACUAUAUAUGAAAAGUUGAAUGUUGACCAAUCAACAGUUCCUUUUCUUGUCUGAUAAAGCAACUGCUGUAUAUGAAAUCAAACCUCAUCUUAAGCUCAACACAGAGAAUAGUUUCUCCUCCGGCCGCCAUGUUCGACAGGCCAAACCAUUCAACUCCAUAUGGAGAUUUUGACGACGGACCAGACCCAUUCAAUUCAAUGCUCUGCACGUGCCGCUGAUAUGGUAAAUUGUUAAUUCACUUGUGACAUCAACCCCCGAGCACUGUGACUAGAAAAUCUGCAAUUCCUUUGCUGUUGAUUGUUUAAAUUAAUAGAGUUUGGAAGUUUAUAAGGUUUUUUAAUUAGAUUGAUUUGGUAACUGAUUGACAUUUGCA
Carica papaya (papaya) is the source of this 689-nucleotide non-coding RNA. The record is from RefSeq and is a predicted model, not a curated record. NCBI's taxonomy places the organism in Eukaryota, Viridiplantae, Streptophyta, Magnoliopsida, Brassicales, Caricaceae.